Podarcis lilfordi (Lilford's wall lizard) is the source of this 73-nucleotide non-coding RNA. The record is from the annotation of a GenBank genome assembly. Lineage: Eukaryota; Metazoa; Chordata; Lepidosauria; Squamata; Lacertidae.
UAUAAAGCUCAGUUGGUAGAGCAUGAGAAUCUUAAUCUCAGGGUCGUGGGUUCGAGCCCCAAGUAGGGCAAAA